UACGAAGGGGGCUAGCGUUGCUCGGAAUCACUGGGCGUAAAGCGCACGUAGGCGGAUUGUUAAGUCAGGGGUGAAAGCCCGGAGCUCAACUCCGGAACUGCCUCUGAUACUGACAGUCUCGAGUUCGGGAGAGGUGAGUGGAACUGCGAGUGUAGAGGUGAAAUUCGUAGAUAUUCGCAAGAACACCAGUGGCGAAGGCGGCUCACUGGCCCGAUACUGACGCUGAGGUGCGAAAGCGUGGGGAGCAAACAGG
RNAcentral lists this ribosomal RNA (253 nucleotides) under uncultured bacterium. RNAcentral describes it as "partial 16S ribosomal RNA". It matches the Rfam family "Bacterial small subunit ribosomal RNA", at positions 524 to 776 of the family's 1533-position model. The record is from RNAcentral.